CCCCCCCCCCUCUUCUCUCUUUGCAAGUCAGUAUGGAAAAUGCUUCCAUUAGGCAAGGAUCUGUUCGUCUAUGUAUCUCGGUGUAACUCGAAUGCAAAUUUGGGAUUGGAUGGCCAGAGUUAAAGGAUUUCUUACAUGUAAUCGUUCAAUCGGCGAUAUGAGAUGACAGAUGGAAUCACGAAUGCAAGAACUUUGUUGCAUAAGUGUCGGUAGGAAAUGACGUUUGAGGGGUUAUGAUAUCAUCAUCAAUAGAUAAAGCAUCUUUGCAUAAAAAAGGUAUAAAUGGUAAAAGAUAAAGCAAUUAAAAAACAUUGCUGAAUCUAAGGGAUUUGGUGAUAUAUGAUACUUCAAAUAUAUUUAAAUGCAGGGGGAUAUAGUAACCAAAUGCCUAAUUAGUAGGAGAUGAUCAAGGAAGUUGAUAUCAAUUCUUCAAAGAAGCAUUGAGCGGGAAAACAAUUCAUAGGAUGGCUAAAGCUAAGACACGUGGAAUGAAGGAGGUGUAGAAAGGGGACACGUGACGCCUUAAAGAGUCUUUUAUUAGGAAGAGAUUAUAAAGUUUUCAAGUUUAUAAUUUUCUCUUUUUAAACAUACUUGACUUUGUUAGAGUUGAUGUAACAUUAAAAUUAUAUUAUAUCUUUCUAUUAUUUUUUUUUAGGCUUAUCGUUUAGGUAAGGCUUCAAGGAAAGAGAAAUUUGUCACAUGCUUAAAAUGCAAAAACCUUAGUCAUAACAAAAGGAGUUGCAAAGGUCAUAGUAUUGCAAGUGGUGCAGGUAAAAGCAGUGCAAGUGGUGAUGGUGAUGCAGGUCAAAACAGUGCAAGUGGUGUUGGUGGUGCAAGUCAAAGCAGUGUAAGUGUUGCUGGAAGUGUUGCUGGUAAGAAGAUACCAAGUUGGGCUGGGAAAAGCAGUGCAAUAAGUGUUGUUAAUAGGAGACCAAGUUGGGUUGGGAAGGAAGGAAAGACAGUAGUUUGAAAGCAUCCUAGUCGUUUUAUUUCGUAGCUUAAUGUAAUGGCUUUUUACACUAUGCAAUGUGUUGAUGUUUUUGUUAACAUUAUGAUAAUCUUUUGUUAACAUUAUGAUGAUCUUUUGAUAACAUCUCUAUCUUUUGCUAAAAUUAUGAUGAUAUCCUACUAUCUUUUGAUAAAA
This is a long non-coding RNA of Lactuca sativa (garden lettuce), 1144 nucleotides long. RefSeq lists it as uncharacterized. Lineage: Eukaryota; Viridiplantae; Streptophyta; Magnoliopsida; Asterales; Asteraceae. The record is from RefSeq and is a predicted model, not a curated record.